AACGAACGCUGGCGGCGUGCUUAACACAUGCAAGUCGAACGAGAAAGCCCUUCGGGGUGAGUAGAGUGGCGCACGGGUGAGUAAUGCAUAGGAACGUGCCUUAGGGUGGGGAAUAACCACGGGAAACCGUGGCUAAUACCGCAUAACCUCGUAAGAGCAAAGGUGGCCUCUGAUUCAAGCUACCGCCUGAAGAGCGGCCUAUGUCCCAUUAGCUUGUUGGUAGGGUAAUGGCCUACCAAGGCUACGAUGGGUAGCUGGUCUGAGAGGACGAUCAGCCACACUGGAACUGAGACACGGUCCAG
This 302-nucleotide ribosomal RNA is filed under the name uncultured bacterium. Its description in RNAcentral is "bacterial SSU rRNA". It matches the Rfam family "Bacterial small subunit ribosomal RNA", at positions 29 to 334 of the family's 1533-position model. The record is from RNAcentral.